UACGUAGGGUGCAAGCGUUAAUCGGAAUUACUGGGCGUAAAGCGGGCGCAGGCGGGUAUAUAAGUCAGAUGGGAAAUUCCCGGGCUCCACCUGGGAACUGCAUUUGAGACUGUAUAGCUAGAGGACGGUAGAGGGGGAUGGAAUUCCGCGUGUAGCAGUGAAAUGCGUAGAUAUGCGGAGGAACACCGAUGGCGAAGGCAAUCCCCUGGACCUGUACUGACGCUCAUGCACGAAAGCGUGGGGAGCAAACAGGAUUAGAUACCCUGGUAGUCCACGCCCUAAACGAUGUCAACUGGUUGUUGGGUCUUAACUGACUCAGUAACGAAGCUAACGCGUGAAGUUGACCGCCUGGGGAGUACGGCCGCAAGGUUG
RNAcentral lists this ribosomal RNA (372 nucleotides) under uncultured prokaryote. Its description in RNAcentral is "bacterial SSU rRNA". It matches the Rfam family "Bacterial small subunit ribosomal RNA", at positions 524 to 896 of the family's 1533-position model. The record is from RNAcentral.